Molecule: ribosomal RNA, 252 nt
Filed under: Triticum aestivum (bread wheat)
Lineage: Eukaryota; Viridiplantae; Streptophyta; Magnoliopsida; Poales; Poaceae
Description: partial small subunit ribosomal RNA
Source: RNAcentral
AUGUCUGGAAGCACGGGAGAAUGUUCUUUUGCUGAUAUUAUUGCCAGUAUUCGAUACUGGGUUAUUCAUAGCAUUACUAUACCUUCCCUAUUCAUUGCGGGUUGGUUAUUUGUCAGUACGGGUUUAGCUUAUGACGUGUUUGGAAGUCCUAGGCCAAACGAGUAUUUCACGGAAAGCCGACAAGGAAUUCCGUUAAUAACCGACCGUUUUGAUUCUUUAGAACAACUCGAUGAAUUUAGUAGAUCCUUUUAG